CAGUAGCCGCGGUAAUACGAAGGGUGCAAGCGUUAAUCGGAAUUACUGGGCGUAAAGCGUGCGUAGGCGGUGAGUUAAGUCUGCUGUGAAAUCCCCGGGCUCAACCUGGGAAUGGCAGUGGAUACUGGCUCGCUAGAGUGUGUCAGAGGAUGGUGGAAUUCCCGGUGUAGCGGUGAAAUGCGUAGAGAUCGGGAGGAACAUUAGUGGCGAAGGCGGCCAUCUGGGACAACACUGACGCUGAGGCACGAAAGCGUGGGGAGCAAACAGGAUUAGAUACCCCUGUAGUCCCUGUCUCUUAUAC
This 301-nucleotide ribosomal RNA is filed under the name uncultured bacterium. RNAcentral describes it as "partial 16S ribosomal RNA". It matches the Rfam family "Bacterial small subunit ribosomal RNA", at positions 509 to 807 of the family's 1533-position model. The record is from RNAcentral.